Molecule: transfer RNA, 77 nt
Filed under: Candidatus Margulisiibacteriota bacterium
Lineage: Bacteria; Bacillati; Candidatus Margulisiibacteriota
Also listed under: 1 other name
Description: tRNA-Pro
Rfam family: tRNA
About the family: Transfer RNA (tRNA) molecules are approximately 80 nucleotides in length.
Source: RNAcentral
CGGGGUAUAGCGCAGCCCGGUAGCGCACACGUCUGGGGGGCGUGUGGUCGUCAGUUCAAAUCUGGCUACCCCGACCA